GGUUGAUCCUGCCGGAGGCCAUUGCUAUCGGAGUCCGAUUUAGCCAUGCUAGUCGCACGAGUUCAUACUCGUGGCAUAUAGCUCAGUAACACGUGGCCAAACUACCCUACAGCGACGGAUAACCUCGGGAAACUGAGGCCAAUCCGUCAUAGCGCUCUCUCAGUGGAAUACUGGAGAGUCACAAACGCUUCGGCGCUGUAGGAUGUGGCUGCGGCCGAUUAGGUAGACGGUGGGGUAACGGCCCACCGUGCCCAUAAUCGGUACGGGUUGUGAGAGCAAGAGCCCGGAGACGGAAUCUGAGACAAGAUUCCGGGCCCUACGGGGCGCAGCAGGCGCGAAACCUUUACACUGCACGCAAGUGCGAUAAGGGGACUCCGAGUGCGAGGGCAUAUCGUCCUCGCUUUUCUGUACCGUAGGGCGGUACAGGAACAAGGACUGGGCAAGACCGGUGCCAGCCGCCGCGGUAAUACCGGCAGUCCAAGUGAUGGCCAAUCUUAUUGGGCCUAAAGCGUCCGUAGCCGGCCUCGAAAGUCCGUCGGGAAAUCCACUGGCUCAACCAGUGGGCGUCCGGCGGAAACUUCGAGGCUUGGGACCGGAAGGCUCGAGGGGUACGUCCGGGGUAGGAGUGAAAUCCUGUAAUCCCGGACGGACCACCGAUGGCGAAAGCACCUCGAGAAGACGGAUCCGACGGUGAGGGACGAAAGCUAGGGUCUCGAACCGGAUUAGAUACCCGGGUAGUCCUAGCCGUAAACGGUGUCCGCUAGGUGUGGCACUGGCUACGAGCCAGUGCUGCGCCGUAGGGAAGCCGAGAAGCGGACCGCCUGGGAAGUACGUCUGCAAGGAUGAAACUUAAAGGAAUUGGCGGGGGAGCACUACAACCGGAGGAGCCUGCGGUUUAAUUGGACUCAACGCCGGACAUCUCACCAGCCCCGACUACAGUGAUGACGAUCAGGUUG
RNAcentral lists this ribosomal RNA (956 nucleotides) under uncultured Halobellus sp. Its description in RNAcentral is "bacterial SSU rRNA". It matches the Rfam family "Archaeal small subunit ribosomal RNA", at positions 6 to 961 of the family's 1478-position model. The record is from RNAcentral. Lineage: Archaea; Methanobacteriati; Methanobacteriota; Halobacteria; Halobacteriales; Haloferacaceae.